CCUACGGGUGGCAGCAGUGGGGAAUAUUGCACAAUGGGGGAAACCCUGAUGCAGCGACGCCGCGUGAGUGAAGAAGUAAUUCGUUAUGUAAAGCUCUAUCAGCAGGGAAGAAAAUGACGGUACCUGAGUAAGAAGCCCCGUCGAACUACGUGCCAGCAGCCGCGGUAAUACGUCGGCGGCAAGCGUUAUCCGGAUUUACUGGGGGUAAAGGGAGCGUAGGCGGGAGUGCAAGUCUGGAGUGAAAGGCGGGGGCUCAACCCCCGGACUGCUCUGGAAACUGUACGGCUUGAGUGCAGGAGAGGUAAGUGGAAUUCGUGGUGUAGCGGUGAAAUGCGUAGAUAUUAGGAGGAACACCGGUGGCGAAGGCGGCUUACUGGACUGUAACUGACGUUGAGGCUCGAAAGCGUGGGGAGCAAACAGGAUUAGAUACCCUGGUAGUC
Molecule: ribosomal RNA, 440 nt
Filed under: uncultured bacterium
Lineage: Bacteria
Description: partial 16S ribosomal RNA
Rfam family: Bacterial small subunit ribosomal RNA
Source: RNAcentral